RNAcentral lists this ribosomal RNA (489 nucleotides) under uncultured cyanobacterium. RNAcentral describes it as "bacterial SSU rRNA". It matches the Rfam family "Bacterial small subunit ribosomal RNA", at positions 393 to 896 of the family's 1533-position model. Lineage: Bacteria; Bacillati; Cyanobacteriota. The record is from RNAcentral.
CACGCCGCGUGAGGGAUGAAGGCCUCUGGGCUGUAAACCUCUUUUAUCAAGGAAGAAGAUCUGACGGUACUUGAUGAAUAAGCCACGGCUAAUUCCGUGCCAGCAGCCGCGGUAAUACGGGAGUGGCAAGCGUUAUCCGGAAUUAUUGGGCGUAAAGCGUCCGCAGGCGGUCUUGUAAGUCUGUCGUUAAAGCGUGGAGCUUAACUCCAUUUCGGCGGUGGAAACUACAAGACUAGAGUGUGGUAGGGGCAGAGGGAAUUCCCGGUGUAGCGGUGAAAUGCGUAGAUAUCGGGAAGAACACCAGUGGCGAAGGCGCUCUGCUGGGCCAUAACUGACGCUCAUGGACGAAAGCCAGGGGAGCGAAAGGGAUUAGAUACCCCUGUAGUCCUGGCCGUAAACGAUGAACACUAGGUGUCGGGGGAAUCGACCCCCUCGGUGUCGUAGCCAACGCGUUAAGUGUUCCGCCUGGGGAGUACGCACGCAAGUGUG